RNAcentral lists this long non-coding RNA (1205 nucleotides) under Olea europaea subsp. europaea. The record is from RNAcentral. Lineage: Eukaryota; Viridiplantae; Streptophyta; Magnoliopsida; Lamiales; Oleaceae.
CAUUUUUGGGGCCAAAACAUAGAGAGGAAGCAGAGAACGAAAUUGGAGAAAAAGAGGGAGAAAAAGGGAAGGAAAAAAGAAAAGAAAAAAGAAAAGAAAGGAAAUGAAAGAGGUUGAUGAUUUUUGAAAGUUUGGGUUCUUCAUUUCUUCAACUUAUCCUUAUUUUAAAGAGGUAAGUUAAUUAAAUUUCUAGAGUUUAUAAACCAUUCAUAUAUAUUCGAAGUUUAGCAAGAAUUAGAGAUUAUUAUUGUUAUAUUUUUGAGGUAUUAAGCAAGAAUAUAUCAAAGAAAUGUUAUUAGAGUAUUGAAAUUGAAGAAAGUUGAAUUUUGAAAUGGGUUUGUAAUUUAGAGCUUGAAUCUUUGAUCUAUUGUGUGUAUAUGAUAUAAAACACCUUAUUUGUGAUUAAUUAUAGUGAGAUAUGAAGUUAAGAUUAUAUUUUGGAAAUUAUAAGCAAUUUUCGUGCAAAAUUCAUGUGCAGUUGCCAAUUCUGAAAAUCUGCCCAGAAUGGUGCUAAUUCUGUCAAAGGUUUUGCUGCCAGAUUUUGAUGUUAUGGGGCUUUAGUGCUGUUUUUGUCAAAACUCUUAUUUUCAGAUUUUUAAAGGCUUGAAUGAAGUUAUAUGACAAGGGUUGAAGUUCAUGUAUUGGAAUAAAUUAUGUAUAGAGGUUAUAUAUGUAUAAGUUAUUGAUUUUAAGGAAGUGUGCGUAUUUUAAUGGAAUUGAUAAUGAAUGGUGAUUAGUUGAUAAAUCAUUAGAGAGGAGAAAAGUUGGAAAAUUGGAGAUGUAAGAGUAAAUAUAGAAAUUAAGAAGUUGAGAAGUAGAAUUGUGUUAAUUUAAUUGCCUGAUUUUAAUUUGAGAAAUUAUACCGUUAUUUCAGGUAGAGACAUGAAAGCUUGGAAUGACACGUCAAUUUAGGCAGAUUUCUAUUCAUGGAUCUGUGAGUAGAAAAAUAUAAAUAUUUUAAAAAUAUUUAUGAAUUAAGUAUAUUAUCAAAGUAUGUGCAAUUAUGUGUUCGAAUUAUAUGGUCAUUAUCGAAAUAUCUUUUAUUAUGAUACAUCAAUUUAGGCAGAUUUCUAUUCAUGGAUCUGUGAGUAGAAAAAUAUAAAUAUUUUAAAAAUAUUUAUGAAUUAAGUAUAUUAUCAAAGUAUGUGCAAUUAUGUGUUCGAAUUAUAUGGUUAUUAUCGAAAUAUCUUUUAUUAUGAUACAUA